UACGUAGGGUCCGAGCGUUGUCCGGAAUUACUGGGCGUAAAGUGUGCGCAGGCGGCCGCGCAAGUCGAGUGUGAAAGCCCCGGGCUUAACUUGGGAAUUGCGCUCGAAACUACGUGGCUGGAGUGUGGCAGAGGAAGGUGGAAUUCCACGUGUAGCGGUGAAAUGACGUAGAGAUGUGGAGGAACACCAAUGGCGAAGGCAGCCUUCUGGGCCGAACACUGACGCUCAUGCACGAAAGCGUGGGGAGCAAACAGG
RNAcentral lists this ribosomal RNA (255 nucleotides) under uncultured bacterium. RNAcentral's name for it is "partial 16S ribosomal RNA". It matches the Rfam family "Bacterial small subunit ribosomal RNA", at positions 524 to 776 of the family's 1533-position model. The record is from RNAcentral.